Molecule: transfer RNA, 74 nt
Filed under: Lactiplantibacillus plantarum
Lineage: Bacteria; Bacillati; Bacillota; Bacilli; Lactobacillales; Lactobacillaceae
Description: Lactobacillus plantarum tRNA-Met
Rfam family: tRNA
About the family: Transfer RNA (tRNA) molecules are approximately 80 nucleotides in length.
Source: RNAcentral
GGACCUGUAGUUCAGUUAGUUCGAGGAGACGGCUCAUAACCAUCCGGUCGUUGGUUCGAGCCCAACAAGGUCCA